Long non-coding RNA from Juglans regia (Persian walnut), 714 nucleotides. RefSeq lists it as uncharacterized. NCBI's taxonomy places the organism in Eukaryota, Viridiplantae, Streptophyta, Magnoliopsida, Fagales, Juglandaceae. The transcript is spliced from 2 exons. The record is from RefSeq and is a predicted model, not a curated record.
GUAAAUGAGUGGGCUAGCUACUAGGACAGCAAUUUUUGCAGAUGGGUGUCUCAGAUUCACCAUUUUUAAGACCCCUUUCUCUUUCUCUCACUGCUCCUGAUCUAGCUCUAUCUUCUUGGUUUGAGAACUGCUGCCUCCUAGUAUAUAUUGAACGAUCGAUCGAGGAAGGUGUGUGUUGAGCUAGAUGGAGAAGCAGGGCACGUGCAUUACUAACUCAUGAUAGGCGCACUCACACUGGCAUAUACAUGUUAAUGUCUUGCUGGAGUUAUGAAUUCUUGCUAGUUAAAGAUCGAAGGUUUUCGAUAGCUAGCUAGCUAGUUCCUGUGAUGAGUUAGCUCUUCAUGUGCCCAUCUUCCCCAUCAUGACCACAGCACCUUAAUUAUAUAUGUUCAUUUGUUGGAGUCUAAGAGCCAGCUAGCUGCAAGAAGAAGAAGACUAUCCCAGAAAUCAUGCAUCCUGAUCAUGGAAUUUCUGAGCCAAUAAUUCAGAUUAAAGAAGCUCCAAGUUCCGGGCCAAAUCAAUGUAACAUUGACAGCAAAGUAGCCUAAAGAAGGUAACAAGACAAGAGCAAGCAUGGCCGGUGAUUAGCCAGACUGGAGAUCAUGAGUAUUAUUCAGGUUAAUGAAGGGGCCGGGAAAUCUCUUAAAUUUCUUAUAAACUUUAAGCCAUAUAUAUGCUUUAUGAUCAUAUAUAUAAUUUCUUUACUUUUCUUUA